GACGAACGCUGGCGGCGUGCUUAACACAUGCAAGUCGAACGGAAAGGCCCUGCUUUUGUGGGGUGCUCGAGUGGCGAACGGGUGAGUAACACGUGAGUAACCUGCCCUUGACUUUGGGAUAACUUCAGGAAACUGGGGCUAAUACCGGAUAGGAGCUCCUGCUGCAUGGUGGGGGUUGGAAAGUUUCGGCGGUUGGGGAUGGACUCGCGGCUUAUCAGCUUGUUGGUGGGGUAGUGGCUUACCAAGGCUUUGACGGGUAGCCGGCCUGAGAGGGUGACCGGCCAGAUGGGGGCAGAGAUACGGCCGAGAGGCAGACGGGAGGCAGAAGGGGGGGUAUUGCACAAUGGUCGGAAGCCUGAUGCAGCAACGCCGCGUGCGGGAUGACGGCCUUCGGGUUGUAAACCGCUUUCGCCUGGGACGAAGCGUGAGUGACGGUAAUGGGUAAAGAAGCACCGGCUAACUACGUG
This 467-nucleotide ribosomal RNA is filed under the name uncultured bacterium. RNAcentral describes it as "partial 16S ribosomal RNA". It matches the Rfam family "Bacterial small subunit ribosomal RNA", at positions 28 to 507 of the family's 1533-position model. The record is from RNAcentral.